RNAcentral lists this ribosomal RNA (406 nucleotides) under uncultured bacterium. RNAcentral's name for it is "bacterial SSU rRNA". It matches the Rfam family "Bacterial small subunit ribosomal RNA", at positions 55 to 507 of the family's 1533-position model. The record is from RNAcentral.
AUGCAAGUCGAACGAGACCUUCGGGUCUAGUGGCGCACGGGUGCGUAACGCGUGGGAACCUGCCUUAGGUUCGGAAUAACUCAGAGAAAUUUGAGCUAAUACCGGAUAAUGUCUUCGGACCAAAGAUUUAUCGCCUUUAGAUGGGCCCGCGUUGGAUUAGCUAGUUGGUGGGGUAAAGGCCUACCAAGGCGACGAUCCAUAGCUGGUCUGAGAGGGAUGAUCAGCCACACUGGGACUGAGACACGGCCCAGACUCCUACGGGAGGCAGCAGUGGGGAAUAUUGGACAAUGGGCGAAAGCCUGAUCCAGCAAUGCCGCGUGAGUGAUGAAGGCCUUAGGGUUGUAAAGCUCUUUUACCCGAGAUGAUAAUGACAGUAUCGGGAGAAUAAGCUCCGGCUAACUCCGUG